Molecule: ribosomal RNA, 115 nt
Filed under: Ochotona princeps (American pika)
Lineage: Eukaryota; Metazoa; Chordata; Mammalia; Lagomorpha; Ochotonidae
Source: RNAcentral
CCAUUCCACCCUGCACAACGCUCGAUCUCAUCUGAUUCUCGGAAGCUAAGCAGAGGUCGGGCCCUGGUUAGUACUUGGAUGGGAAACAAAAUGUUAAAAAAAGAAGAAAAAAGCC